UACGUAGGGGGCGAGCGUUGUCCGGAAUUAUUGGGCGUAAAGGGCUCGUAGGCGGUUUGGCGCGUCGGGAGUGAAAACCUUGGGCUUAACUCAGGGCGUGCUUUCGAUACGGGCAGACUAGAGGUAUGCAGGGGAGAACGGAAUUCCUGGUGUAGCGGUGAAAUGCGCAGAUAUCAGGAGGAACACCGGUGGCGAAGGCGGUUCUCUGGGCAUGAUCUGACGCUGAGGAGCGAAAGUGUGGGGAGCGAACAGG
RNAcentral lists this ribosomal RNA (253 nucleotides) under uncultured bacterium. Its description in RNAcentral is "partial 16S ribosomal RNA". It matches the Rfam family "Bacterial small subunit ribosomal RNA", at positions 524 to 776 of the family's 1533-position model. The record is from RNAcentral.